Rhopalosiphum maidis (corn leaf aphid) is the source of this 534-nucleotide long non-coding RNA. RefSeq lists it as uncharacterized. The record is from RefSeq and is a predicted model, not a curated record. The transcript is spliced from 3 exons. Lineage: Eukaryota; Metazoa; Arthropoda; Insecta; Hemiptera; Aphididae.
UUUUAGAUACAUAUUUAAAUACACUGAUUUUCAGAUUAUAUAAGCAAAUAAAAAAAUAUUUGUCAAAAAUACUUUACCCGGGAAUAUUAAACAUAUGUAAUAAUAGAACUGGAUUAGUAGUUACGCCCAAGCACGGAGUAGCCAAUCGGAGCUCAUUUUCAUAUUUCUACUGUCGUGAUGCGAUGUCACCAACAAUAAUAGACCCUCCAAGUUGACUUUAUCUGCCUGUCGCAAUAAUGGGUAAUCGGAAAGCGUUGGAUGACUGUGGUUUGUCUUACGUGUGCUUGGCAUAGUUGUGUGAAAACCACCAUAUACUUACUAAAAUGUGUUCCAAAUCAGAAGAAAUAUUACCAGAGCUUAACGUGAAAAUAUCGUACAAGUAUAACCGACGCUGCGGUAUACUAGCAGCCAUUUUAGCGUUUUCUCGAUAGCUAACAAUAGUAUAUGCGAUUGUCAUACGAUAUGAUAUAAUGGGACAAUGAUUCGGAUCCAAUACAAAUAACAAUACUUUUAUUUUGUUUAUACUGCAGCAAA